RNAcentral lists this ribosomal RNA (924 nucleotides) under Lactiplantibacillus plantarum. RNAcentral's name for it is "bacterial SSU rRNA". It matches the Rfam family "Bacterial small subunit ribosomal RNA", at positions 69 to 964 of the family's 1533-position model. Lineage: Bacteria; Bacillati; Bacillota; Bacilli; Lactobacillales; Lactobacillaceae. The record is from RNAcentral.
UUGAUUGGUGCUUGCAUCAUGAUUUACAUUUGAGUGAGUGGCGAACUGGUGAGUAACACGUGGGAAACCUGCCCAGAAGCGGGGGAUAACACCUGGAAACAGAUGCUAAUACCGCAUAACAACUUGGACCGCAUGGUCCGAGUUUGAAAGAUGGCUUCGGCUAUCACUUUUGGAUGGUCCCGCGGCGUAUUAGCUAGAUGGUGGGGUAACGGCUCACCAUGGCAAUGAUACGUAGCCGACCUGAGAGGGUAAUCGGCCACAUUGGGACUGAGACACGGCCCAAACUCCUACGGGAGGCAGCAGUAGGGAAUCUUCCACAAUGGACGAAAGUCUGAUGGAGCAACGCCGCGUGAGUGAAGAAGGGUUUCGGCUCGUAAAACUCUGUUGUUAAAGAAGAACAUAUCUGAGAGUAACUGUUCAGGUAUUGACGGUAUUUAACCAGAAAGCCACGGCUAACUACGUGCCAGCAGCCGCGGUAAUACGUAGGUGGCAAGCGUUGUCCGGAUUUAUUGGGCGUAAAGCGAGCGCAGGCGGUUUUUUAAGUCUGAUGUGAAAGCCUUCGGCUCAACCGAAGAAGUGCAUCGGAAACUGGGAAACUUGAGUGCAGAAGAGGACAGUGGAACUCCAUGUGUAGCGGUGAAAUGCGUAGAUAUAUGGAAGAACACCAGUGGCGAAGGCGGCUGUCUGGUCUGUAACUGACGCUGAGGCUCGAAAGUAUGGGUAGCAAACAGGAUUAGAUACCCUGGUAGUCCAUACCGUAAACGAUGAAUGCUAAGUGUUUGGAGGGUUUCCGCCCUUCAGUGCUGCAGCUAACGCAUUAAGCAUUCCGCCCUGGGGAGUACGGCCGCAAGGCUGAAACUCAAAGGAAUUUGACGGGGGCCCGCACAAGCGGUGGAGCAUGUGGUUUAAUUCGAAGCUACGCGA